GUCUAUGGCCAUACCACCCUGAACGCACCUGAUCUUGUGUGAUCUCAGAAGCUAAGCAGGGUUGGACCUGGUUAGUACUUGGAUGGGAGACUGCCUGGGAAUACUGGAUGCUGUAGGCC
Molecule: ribosomal RNA, 119 nt
Filed under: Colobus angolensis palliatus
Lineage: Eukaryota; Metazoa; Chordata; Mammalia; Primates; Cercopithecidae
Source: RNAcentral